CAUUUCCAACAAGAGCACUGGCCAAGUCAGCUUCUUCUGAGAGAGUCUCUAGAAGACAUGAUGCUACACUCAGCUUUGGGUCUCUGCCUCUUACUCGUCACAGUUUCUUCCAACCUUGCCAUUGCAAUAAAAAAGGAAAAGAGGCCUCCUCAGACACUCUCAAGAGGAUGGGGAGAUGACAUCACUUGGGUACAAACUUAUGAAGAAGGUCUCUUUUAUGCUCAAAAAAAGUAAGAAGCCAUUAAUGGUUAUUCAUCACCUGGAGGAUUGUCAAUACUCUCAAGCACUAAAGAAAGUAUUUGCCCAAAAUGAAGAAAUACAAGAAAUGGCUCAGAAUAAGUUCAUCAUGCUAAACCUUAUGCAUGAAACCACUGAUAAGAAUUUAUCACCUGAUGGGCAAUAUGUGCCUAGAAUCAUGUUUGUAGACCCUUCUUUAACAGUUAGAGCUGACAUAGCUGGAAGAUACUCUAACAGAUUGUACACAUAUGAGCCUCGGGAUUUACCCCUAU
RNAcentral lists this long non-coding RNA (509 nucleotides) under Homo sapiens (human). RNAcentral describes it as "HSALNT0119210". The record is from RNAcentral. Lineage: Eukaryota; Metazoa; Chordata; Mammalia; Primates; Hominidae.